GAGGUAGGAGGAUCCCUUGAGCCCAGGAGUUGGAGGUUGCAGUGAGCUAUGAUCAUACCACUGCACUCCAGCCUGAGUGACAGAGCAAGAUCCUGUCUCA
This 100-nucleotide microRNA precursor is filed under the name Propithecus coquereli (Coquerel's sifaka). Its description in RNAcentral is "miRNA (ENSPCOG00000011606.1)". Lineage: Eukaryota; Metazoa; Chordata; Mammalia; Primates; Indriidae. The record is from RNAcentral.